This 160-nucleotide ribosomal RNA is filed under the name uncultured bacterium. RNAcentral's name for it is "partial 16S ribosomal RNA". It matches the Rfam family "Bacterial small subunit ribosomal RNA", at positions 338 to 512 of the family's 1533-position model. The record is from RNAcentral.
CCUACGGGAGGCAGCAGUGGGGAAUAUUGGGCAAUGGGCGCAAGCCUGACCCAGCAACGCCGCGUGAAGGAAGAAGGCUUUCGGGUUGUAAACUUCUUUUGUCAGGGACGAAACAAAUGACGGUACCUGACGAAUAAGCCACGGCUAACUACGUGCCAGC